This 460-nucleotide ribosomal RNA is filed under the name uncultured bacterium. Its description in RNAcentral is "partial 16S ribosomal RNA". It matches the Rfam family "Bacterial small subunit ribosomal RNA", at positions 338 to 795 of the family's 1533-position model. The record is from RNAcentral.
CCUACGGGAGGCAGCAGUGAGGAAUAUUGGUCAAUGGACGCAAGUCUGAACCAGCCAUGCCGCGUGCAGGAUGACGGCUCUAUGAGUUGUAAACUGCUUUUGUACGAGGGUAAACCCCGAUACGUGUAUCGGUUUGAAAGUACUGUACGAAUAAGGAUCGGCUAACUCCGUGCCAGCAGCCGCGGUAAUACGGAGGAUCCGAGCGUUAUCCGGAUUUAUUGGGUUUAAAGGGUGCGUAGGUGGUUUGUUAAGUCAGAGGUGAAAUGUUGGGGCUCAACCGUAAAACUGCAUUUAAUACUGUUGGACUAGAGUAUAGUUGAGGUAGGCGGAAUGUGUGGUGUAGCGGUGAAAUGCUUAGAGAUCAUGAAGAACACCGAUUGCGAAGGCAGCUUACCAAACUAUAUCUGACGUUGAGGCACGAAAGCGUGGGUAGCAAACAGGAUUAGAUACCCUGGUAGUC